GGUACUAGUGGUGUGACUAGGUAUUUACAGAGUUAUUAGCUGGUACUAGUGGUGUGACUAGGUAUUUACAGAGUUAUUAGCUGGUACUAGUGGUGUGACUAGGUAUUUACAGAGUUAUUAGCUGGUACUAGUGGUGUGACUAGGUAUUUACAGAGUUAUUAGCUGGUACUAGUAGUGUGACUAGGUAUUUACAGAGUUAUUAGCUGGUACUAGUGGUGUGACUAGGUAUUUACAGAGGUAUUAGCUGGUACUAGUGGAGUGACUAGGUAUUUACAGAGUUAUUAGCUGGUACUAGUGGUGUGACUAGGUAUUUACAGAGUUAUUAGCUGGUACUAGUGGUGUGACUAGGUAUUUACAGAGUUAUUAGCUGGUACUAGUGGUGUGACUAGGUAUUUACAGAGUUAUUAGCUGGUACUAGUGGUGUGACUAGGU
Non-coding RNA from Oncorhynchus mykiss (rainbow trout), 432 nucleotides. NCBI's taxonomy places the organism in Eukaryota, Metazoa, Chordata, Actinopteri, Salmoniformes, Salmonidae. The record is from RefSeq and is a predicted model, not a curated record.